Long non-coding RNA from Sesamum indicum (sesame), 1030 nucleotides. RefSeq lists it as uncharacterized. Lineage: Eukaryota; Viridiplantae; Streptophyta; Magnoliopsida; Lamiales; Pedaliaceae. The record is from RefSeq and is a predicted model, not a curated record.
UAUGAGUUUGAUUGAUCUGAUUGUUGCUGCUUUAUUAAACAAAUGGGAAGUGAGAUGGAUUAAUAAGUAUGCAACUAAGUUUGAUGUGAAAAAAGGCAGCAGGCGCAGGUGGACCAUGAGCUUUAAUCAUUUAUCUCUUUACAGAUGUAAAAUGAAUCCAACGCUUCUGAUUCAUCAACCAGUUUUUGAUGGGGCAUUGGGCCCUCCAAUUUCCUAAAUCUUCAUUUCCAACCCAAUUGUUGAGGCUUGCAGAUCUUCUUCACAAACCCUUUGCUUUUAUGGUAUUAUCUUCCAACAAGUCAGUUGAAUCAUUUCUAAAUAAAAAAAAGUGAGUUGAAUUACUAGGUGGUGUGCUGCCAUCCACUGAUUGGUGGCUUUCAUGUGUUUCUUGCAAGUAGUGUCCUCCUUUAUUUGAUGAAUGCAGUUACUAAUAUCACUUGGAAUUGGAGCUAUCAAACUUGUCUGUUGCUUUUGGAAACAAGUGCACACUUUUCGCUGUACUGUACCUCCCUCAUUCACCCACUCAACUUUCAAUCUCAAUUAUGGUGAGAUGGCAGGUUUACACUGUACAUACUGCUUUUAUACGUCAUCAUCACCAUGUCUCUGAUCAAAACAAAGGAUCCAGUUGAGUUUUCUAUUGCACUAACUACGUUAAUUACGUAAUUUUCCACUGAGGAAAGGAACAUAUUAGCUCAAAGUCGUUAACUUUUUUGUGUGAUGAUUGAUUGGCCAUGCCCAUGUUCUUUCUUUGUUCCGUAGUUUGUGUCGGCCACAAAGAUUGUAAAAAGGUGGCUGUCUGUCUUCCAGAACCUGGAAAGAACACGAAGAAGCACAUGUAACGGGGAAAAAGGCAAAGGAGAAUUCAGUCAUAAAAAUCAGGUGUUUGCUUUUUUUUCUCUUUGUUAGAAGGAUCUGGACUUAUAAAGAGAAGGUAAUCAAUGUCCCCUCGAGCCCAGAAGAUGAUAAACACAGCGUCAUGCUCACGAUCAUGCAUCCAAGUUAUUAUAUAUUUUUAGCACACAAAUCUCCA